This 1218-nucleotide ribosomal RNA is filed under the name metagenome. Its description in RNAcentral is "bacterial SSU rRNA". It matches the Rfam family "Bacterial small subunit ribosomal RNA", at positions 298 to 1498 of the family's 1533-position model. The record is from RNAcentral.
GGGUGACCGGCCACACUGGGACUGAGACACUGCCCAGACUCCUACGGGAGGCUGCAGUCGAGGAUCAUUCGCAAUGCGCGAAAGCGUGACGAUGCGACGCUGCGUGGGGGAUGAAGGCCUUCGGGUCGUAAACUCCUGUCAUGAGGGAAAAGUAUCCCUGCGAUUAAUAGUUGUGGGGCUCGAUGGUACCUCAAGAGGAAGCCACGGCUAACUCUGUGCCAACAGCCGCGGUAAUACAGAGGUGGCGAGCGUUGUUCGGAUUUACUGGGCGUAAAGGGUGCGUAGGUGGUUUUGUGUGUCGGAUGUGAAAGCCCAUGGCUCAACCGUGGAAUUGCAUUCGAAACUGCAGAACUAGAGUGCAGGAUGGGAGAGCGGAAUUCUUGGUGUAGCGGUGAAAUGCGUUGAUAUCAAGAAGAACACCGGUGGCGAAGGCGGCUCUCUGGAAUGCUACUGACACUGAGGCACGAAAGCUGGGGGAGCAAACAGGAUUAGAUACCCUGGUAGUCCCAGCCGUAAACGGUGCACACUUGGUGUGGGGAGAUUUAACCCUCUCCGUGCCGGAGCUAACGCGUUAAGUGUGCCGCCUGGGGAGUACGGCCGCAAGGCUAAAACUCAAAGAAAUUGACGGGGGCCCGCACAAGCGGAGGAGCAUGUGGCUUAAUUCGACGCAACGCGAAGAACCUUACCAGGGCUUGACAUAUACCUGCAAGCCCCGUGAAAGCGGGGAAUCCUUCGAGGGUGGUAUACAGGUGCUGCAUGGCUGUCGUCAGUUCGUGCCGUGAGGUGUUGGGUUAAGUCCCGUAACGAACGCAACCCUUGUGACUAGUUGCCACCGGCGGUGAUGAGCCGCCGAGCACUCUAGUCAGACUGCCCGUACAAGCGGGAGGAAGGUGGGGAUGACGUCAAGUCAGUAUGGCCCUUACGCCCUGGGCUGCACACGUGCUACAAUGGUCGGUACAAUGGGAUGCAAUAUCGCGAGGUGGAGCAAAUCCCCAAAGCCGGCCUCAGUUCGGAUUGGAGUCUGCAACUCGACUCCAUGAAGUCGGAUUCGCUAGUAACGGCGCAUCAGCUACGGCGCCGUGAAUACGUUCCCGGGCCUUGUACACACCGCCCGUCACAUCAUGAAAGCCGUCUGCACCCGAAGUCGCUAAUCUAACCCGCAAGGGAUGUAGGCGCCGAAGGUGUGGGUGGUGAUUGGGAUGAAGUCGUAACAAGGUA